This 553-nucleotide ribosomal RNA is filed under the name uncultured bacterium. Its description in RNAcentral is "partial 16S ribosomal RNA". It matches the Rfam family "Bacterial small subunit ribosomal RNA", at positions 355 to 900 of the family's 1533-position model. The record is from RNAcentral.
UAGGGAAUCUUCCACAAUGGACGCAAGUCUGAUGGAGCAACGCCGCGUGAGUGAAGAAGGCUUUCGGGUCGUAAAACUCUGUUAUUGAAGAAGAACGUGUGUGACAGUAACUGGUCAUGCAGUGACGGUAUUCAAUCAGAAAGUCACGGCUAACUACGUGCCAGCAGCCGCGGUAAUACGUAGGUGGCAAGCGUUGUCCGGAUUUAUUGGGCGUAAAGCGAGUGCAGGCGGUCUUUUAAGUCUGAUGUGAAAGCCUUCGGCUUAACCGAAGAAGGGCAUCGGAAACUGGGAGACUUGAGUGCAGAAGAGGAGAGUGGAACUCCGUGUGUAGCGGUGAAAUGCGUAGAUAUAUGGAAGAACACCAGUGGCGAAGGCGGCUCUCUGGUCUGUAACUGACGCUGAGGCUCGAAAGCGUGGGUAGCAAACAGGAUUAGAUACCCUGGUAGUCCACGCCGUAACGAUGAAUACUAAGUGUUGGAGGGUUUCCGCCCUUCAGUGCUGCAGCUAACGCAUUAAGUAUUCCGCCUGGGGAGUACGACCGCAAGGUUGAAAC